This 464-nucleotide ribosomal RNA is filed under the name Vreelandella stevensii. RNAcentral's name for it is "partial 16S ribosomal RNA". It matches the Rfam family "Bacterial small subunit ribosomal RNA", at positions 338 to 795 of the family's 1533-position model. Lineage: Bacteria; Pseudomonadati; Pseudomonadota; Gammaproteobacteria; Oceanospirillales; Halomonadaceae. The record is from RNAcentral.
CCUACGGGAGGCAGCAGUGGGGAAUAUUGGACAAUGGGCGAAAGCCUGAUCCAGCCAUGCCGCGUGUGUGAAGAAGGCCUUCGGGUUGUAAAGCACUUUCAGUGGGGAAGAAAGCCUUGGGGCUAAUACCCUCGAGGAAGGACAUCACCCACAGAAGAAGCACCGGCUAACUCCGUGCCAGCAGCCGCGGUAAUACGGAGGGUGCGAGCGUUAAUCGGAAUUACUGGGCGUAAAGCGCGCGUAGGCGGUCUGAUAAGCCGGUUGUGAAAGCCCCGGGCUCAACCUGGGAACGGCAUCCGGAGUGACGGGCGAGAGUGCGGGAGAGGGGGGUAGAAUUAACGGGGGAGCGGGGAACUGCGUAGAGAUGGGGAGGAAUACCAGUGGAGAAGGCGGCCCCCUGGACCGACACGGACGCUCAGGUGCGAAAGCGUGGGUAGCAAACAGGAUUAGAUACCCCGGUAGUC